Molecule: long non-coding RNA, 1662 nt
Organism: Cyprinus carpio carpio
Lineage: Eukaryota; Metazoa; Chordata; Actinopteri; Cypriniformes; Cyprinidae
Source: Ensembl
GCCAUUUAGUAUAUUUAUUCAAUUCAACUGUGAAAACAAGCAGGAAAUGUUGGUUAAUUUUAGAAAGAAAUCAGUAAUUCUUUUUCUUCAGUUCUUUUAUUAUAAAAGUGUACACUUUCACACAUAAGAAAUGUGCUUCAAUUAUGUACCAUCAAAAUGAUGCAACAGGACACAUUAUUAUCAAAAAACUUUUUAUUUAUUACUUUGAAUAUGCACAAAUUUACUGAAAAAUGGUUUCAUACAACUAUGUACAAUCAGGAGGUUUAGAUGAUCAAAACAGUCUCAUGUAAAGCUGCAGCCUGGAGUUUAAUGAUGCAGAACAAUAGGCAUUAUCCAGUGUCUUUCUGAAGCACAGAGCGUGUCAAUUAGUGCACUCUCAUAAAGCGGAACAAAAACAAGAAAUAUAGACUCUCCCAUCUCCCCCUUAAGCCAGAGAGAUUAAAAUCAAACGCAAACAAGUGGGCUGCUGACCAUAAUAUCAUUAACUAAGACAAAAAUACCCGUGUACAUCUAAUACAUUAUUACAAUGACAUACUGUUAAAGGAGCUAAAGACAGAAAAAUACAAUCGUACAUAGUUUAUACAUACAUACAGUCAAAGUUUGUACAUUCUGUCAAUUGAUUAUCUGAAUGUUUGCUAAGUUUGGUACAAGACCUGUUGCAUGUAAAUGGGAAGCUGACUGCAGUCUGACAAUACUUCAUCUAAAGUUAUUUUAAACUCUUUUUUGUCAUAAUGACAUGCACUUUUAAUGAAUAUGCAAUAUUUGUCUCACACUCAUUUAAAAGAAACAGAGCCGAGUUACAGCACCAUUUUCAUAUAAAUUUGAACCUACUAGUCCAUGGUUGAACAUCGAGGCUCACACAUAGUUUCGUUUAUCAUAGUCCCCAUUGACUGAUGUGCUUUUUAUAGGUGGAGGUACAUAUUUUAGAGGAUACGAGGUUUUCUCAUCAUUUGGACGAGAGAAACAAAGAAUCACUCCUCCGACCAGAAGCAUGGAAGACGCUGCCCAUCCGAUGUAGAGCGCAGCUCCAAUUUCUCUCUUCUUUGCAUUAGGGACGUGAGGGUCAUAGAAGUCCGAGAUGAUGUUAUUGGCCAUCCAGCACAGAGGCACCAGCACAAACAAGCCUGCGAUGAUGUAUAUCACCCCUCCGACGUUGACAACUUUGGCUUUGAUGGACUCUUUACUGAUGCAGUUGGUGCACUGAGCGCCGGCGAUGGUUAUCAUCAGUGCCUGGACACCCAAAACCGCUGAGAUGACCGUCAGAGCCCGAGCAGUCUGGAGGUCAGUGGUCAGUGCCAGGACUGAGUCGUGCAUUUUACACUGCAUCUGACCCGUGCUCUGGACCACGCAGGACAUCCACAGCCCGUCCCAGAUGUUUUGCGCCACCACGAUGUUGCCCUCAAUGAAGGCGGACACUUUCCACAUGGGCAGCCCGCAAGCAACCAUUACCAAAAGGGUCCCGGUGACGCUCAAGCCAAGUCCAAUAAUCUCCAGACAUGCAGAAAUCAUCUUUGCAAAGUUUUUUAUGCUCUUUUUCUCAGUUUAGAAAGUCUAGAUCCCGUAAUUUGUUCAAAGCAGGUGUUUAGAGCAGAAGUAUCUCUUCAUUGCUCGCCAGUGUUGUAGAAUGAGAUGCGCUGGGAGUUUUCUGCUCUUGAGUGCAGG